AAACCCUCCUUAACUCUCCCUUUCCAGCUUUCCCCAAAGUCCACAGAAGCUCUGCUGAACUCUAGAAAUCUUCCCUGGCCGGGGGGAAGUUUCCUAGCAUCCUCUUUGGCUAAGACAGGUAGUGGAGAAAACAGUCGGGGCUGUACUGGACGCUGUUUGGGGGAGACGCGAUCUUCCUCUCGCCCCCUCCAGCCACUCCGACUGCCCGGGAAGUCCCAGCCCGCGCUCUCCGGAACCUGGCUCGCCAUCUCGCCCUGGACUUGGAACUACGCAUCUGAGACCUGCUGGACGUUUUGCUGGCUGUUUUGCAAGACUCAGGGGUGCGCCCAAGAUGACCAAAUAGGAAUAGCUCCAGCCUCCAGUUCCCAGCGUGAGCGACACAGAAGACGGGUGAUUUCUGCAUUUUCAACUGAGGUACUGGGUUCAUCUCACUGGGGAGUGCCGGACAAUCGGUGCUGGUCAGCUGGUGCAGCCCGACCAGCGAGAGCUGAAGCAGGGUGAGGCAUUGCCUCACCUGGGAAGUGCAAGGGGGAAGGGAAUCCCUUUUCCUAGCCAAGGGAAACAGAAAGACAUCACCUGGAAAAUUGGGUAAUUUCCACCCUAAUACUGCGCUUUACCAAGGGUCUUAGCAAACGGCACACUAGGAGAUUAUAUCCCACACCUGGCCCAGAGGGUCCCCUGCCCACGGAGUCUCCCUCAUUGCUGGCACAGCAGUCUGAGAUCUAACUGCAAGGUGGCAGUGAGGCUGGAGGAGGGAUGCCUGCCGUUACUGAGGCUUAAGUGGGUAAACAAAGCCACUGGGAAGCUAAAAUUGGGUGGAGCCCACCUCAGCUCAAGGAGGCUGGCCUGCCUCUGUAGACUCCUCCUCUGGGGACAGGGCAUAGCUAAGCAAAAAGCAGCAGAAACCUCGGCAGAGGUAAAUGCCCCUGUCUGAUAGGUUUGAAGAGAGCAGUGGAUCUCCCAGCACGGAGGUUGAGAUCUGAGAAGGGACAGACUGCCUGCUCAAGUGGGUCCCUGACCCCUGAGUAGCCUAACUGGGAGACAUCCCCCACUAGGGGCAGUAUGACACCUCACACCUCACAUGGUGGGGUACACCCCUUAGACGAAGCUUCCAGAGCAAGAAUCAGACAGCAACACUCGCUGUUCAGCAAUAUUCUAUCUUCUGCAUCCUCCGCUGCUGAUACCCAGGCAAACAGCGUCUGGAGUGGACCUCAAGCAAACUCCAACAGACCUACAGCUGAGGGUCCUGACUGUUAGAAGGAAAACUAACAAACAGAAAGGACAGCCACACCAAAACCCCAUCAGUACAUCACCAUCAUCAAAGACCAAAGGCAGAUAAAACCACAAAGAUGGGGAAAAAGCAGUGCAGAAAAGCUGUAAAUUCAAAAAAUCAGAGCGCAUCUCCCCUUCCAAAGGAACGCAGCUCAUUGCCAGCAACGGAACAAAGCUGGACGGAGAACGACUUUGAC
Molecule: long non-coding RNA, 1469 nt
Filed under: Papio anubis (olive baboon)
Lineage: Eukaryota; Metazoa; Chordata; Mammalia; Primates; Cercopithecidae
Description: lncRNA (ENSPANG00000049607.1)
Source: RNAcentral